This 277-nucleotide ribosomal RNA is filed under the name uncultured eukaryote. Its description in RNAcentral is "partial 18S ribosomal RNA". It matches the Rfam family "Eukaryotic small subunit ribosomal RNA", at positions 21 to 313 of the family's 1831-position model. The record is from RNAcentral.
UAGUCAUAUGCUUGUCUCAAAGAUUAAGCCAUGCAUGUCUCAGUGUAAACUUUUAAACAGUGAAACUGCGAAUGGCUCAUUAAAACAGUUAUAGUUUAUUUGGUAUUCACCUUUACAUGGAUAACCGUGGGAAUUCUAGGGCUAAUACAUGCGUACCCGCAAGGGUUGUGUUUAUUAGAUUAAAACCAUCACUGCAGCAAUGCAGUUUAGUUGGAAUAAUAAUAACCGUUCGGACCGCACGCUUCGAGUGGCGGUAAACCAUUCAAGUUUCUGACCU